GAGGUCGCCGAGCCCGGAGCUCGGCCAGAGAUGCCCCCUCAGAGCCGCUGCCUAUGCUAGGCACCGACCCAAAGGAGUUCUGCGUAUCUUGGGCUGGAAAGGCCGUCCGAGGGGAAGUCACUCCUGUGAGGGCAUGGCUGUUGCAAGGGGAUGAGUGCAGUGCAACUGGCAGCGCAACUGUGCCAGCUGCAGACAGCCAGCGACCAGCGCUCAGGGAAAUAAGGGCGCCAAAAUGCAGAGCCCAAGGCCGAGGGUUAAAAUCUGGCCAGGAGUUACCGGAGAAUUGCUUCUGUUGUUAAAAAAAAAAGGGUAUUUGAGAACUGCUUUUAGGUCUCGACUUUGCCCUGUUUACUCAAUGCUCAAGGCAAGGUUUAUAAAGAGAAUUGCUUUUUAUUGGACUAACUGCGCUUCUUUGCAAAAACAGCUAAGUUUUGGGGCAAACAAAACCUUCAGACUUGUGCAGCUGUGGAAGGGUGUCAUGGGUACAUAAAAUACAGGAUCUCCUCUCCAUGCUGCCAAACACACUUGGUCUGGGACUUGAAAACUGUUGCUACAUAGGGAAUAUCCCUGGGGAGCAAACUGGGGGAAUUCAAGGUAUACAAGAGACUUACUGAGAGAGGUUUUGGCUUUGGACUAUCUGUGGAGUGAAAACACUAUAACUGAAACCAAAGUAGAACUGCUAAGAGAAGACAAAAAAUUAUCUCCCUUAGGAGCUUUGGAAACAUCCCAGAGCUGUAGUUGGAAGAGCAGUAGGGUAUGCUGUGAAGGAAACAGAAUAGGAACAUUUUCCGAAACUCCAAGUAAGAGAGUUUGCCUUUUUUUGCCAGAUAACAUAAGUUCAGGUGAUCAGAUCACAGCUACUUUUCAUUUAAAUUUUGUUCCUUUGUGUUUGGAAUGAAAUGUCCAUUUUGCCUUGUGCUUCCUCCUUUGGUGAAGCCUUCUCAUCUGCUUUAUUUCUAAACAGAGCACAGAAUCAGAAAAUAUUCCAUGGAUGAUGGAGCCUUCCCUGCAGCAGUUAAACAGGUCAUACAACCCCAUCUGUAAAUUUACCAAGCUUUCAUCAUAAAACAGCUUUGGGGUUUUUGCCCCCAUACUCCUAUUGGGAAGCUGCUGCACCACUUUAUGUCCCCAACAACUGGAAACCUUUUGAAUCUCUGUGAUGAAUUUUCAUGGCAAUUUUGUCAGACAGUUUCAUGUAAUAACAAAGUUCUACUUCAAGUAUCUUUCCUUUUAGUGUUUCUCUUGCCUUCCUUUAUCCCCAGGAUAACUGAAGAGCAAUAAUAGACAAACAUUUUCACAGAUUUUCAUUAAAUAAUGAUAUUGUAAUGUAUAAUAAUGUAGUGUCUGAUAAUGUAAUGAUAUAGUAUAAUAAUGUCAAUAAUGUAAUGAAAGGAACAAGCUAAAUGAAGUAAGGUAAUAAACUAAAUAAGAUCAAUCCUUUUUAGGGGAGGGUUUCAUAGCUCCCUUAUAGUAUGUAGUUUUGCUGCAACAUAUGUAUUUACUAGGUUUUUUACCUAAUUAUCUUUUCUAAACUAUGAACUAUCAUCUGGUAAUAGAAAAUUCCUGCUGUUAAUUCCAAGCUGCAACCGUGCACUUUGUACACUCUAACCUCAUCCCCUUUCAGUAACUGAAGUUCAAUGACCUGUAUGAUAUUCCAAGCCUUUUCUAGUUUGACACUGCCUCCAAACUUUGUCAUCAGAAAAUGUCAUAAACACACGCUGUACCAAAAUUAGCUAUGAUACUAUCUGCUAUUUUUAGUCUCCAAGCUAAUCCUAGAAAAUUCUGCUGGUAACUUUACUCCAAACAUAGAGUUUCCCUUUCAAUGUAGUAGAUUGAACCUUUGUAUUUGUGAAGACAGUAGAGUCAAUCCAACAUUGAGGAAUUUGUGGUUUUCUUUGUAAUUUUGAUCUGAUUUCAGUUAAUUUCCUUCCUCUAAAUUAUUAUUUUCUCUCACAGUGAAGCCUUUCUCCCAUUGUGGGCUAAUAUUUGAUGGGCUAAUGUAUAAAUGGUUUAAUAAGGUAAACUGGAAAAAAAAGACAUUGUUUUUAUCUGGUAGAAGGCCACUAGGCAGAUCUCUCAUAGUCUGACAUAAAAUGAUUUUUUAUCCUUCACUGUUUCAAAUUUCCAUUUACGUGGAUAUGUUAAUUGUUCUUUCCCAUGCUGUGUGUUUUUAAACCUUUCAUAAUAUUAAAGUCAUCUUAAUAGGGUUGUAGUUUAAUUGGUUACUUCUUCUCCUCUUCCAUACUUCAUUUGCUCAUCUUUAGUAAUAUGAUGCAAUACUUGCCUCAUUUACUUAGUUGUUCGGUUCACCAUUUCAGGCAAAGAAACAGAUUUUGAAAAAAUUUUGUCAUUACAAAAAAUAAGCUUUGUAAGGAGUAAUGUGCUAUGAGGAGCAGAACUGGGGUUCCUGAAGCAACAGCUACACAGAACUCACUUGGCUGUAUGCCAAUGGUCGGCAGAUUCACAGUGGUUGUAUCUAAACUGGGGAGUAGAAGGACGAGCCUCACUGUAGCUGUACCUCACUUAAGUUAAUGGUUGAAAUGCCUGGUUUUCCUAGUCUGUGUUACUAGAAGUCACUGUGAUUUACCAUAACAAUGACUAAUCAGUUUGGUCUGAAUCAUUCUUCACUAUCAUACGCUAUGUUCUUAAAAAGUAAUACUUUUUUCAGUUGUUUAUAUUAUCUUAACCUUGUCAAAUAUAUUUUGUAAUUAACGUGAUAUUUUUUCCUGUAUCUACACCAAAACAGGAAAGAUAUGCAGUGUUCUGACUGACCAGAAUUCUGGAGAAUCUUUUUGGAAUUUCCAAGGAGCACAAGUGAAAAUGAAUCUUAGGGUAUUCUCAUCAGCUGUACUACAUAUGGUACAAAUCUUACUCCAUAGCAGAUAUUUAAAAUUAAAUUCUUCUGUGUUGUCAGACCACUGCAGAGCUCAGGCAUCUGAAACUGCCAUCCUUUUAUCUUUUAUUUUAAUGUGAACAGUAAAACUUUUCAUUUAGAUUAUUACAACAUAUAUCUCAAACUUAUAUAAACAUGCUAUUCUAAGAUAAAACAAUAAUUUCAAACAAUAAUAAUUGCCUUUUGCUGUAAAAAAGGAAUGAAAAAGGAGAACUGCAAAAUUUUCAAGAAGUAAUCUGAACUUCUGCUCCUUCCCUUGAGAACUGGAUUUUCCUUUGUGAUACCCACUGUAGAUGAUGCCAUUUAGCAUUACCGGUGAUGACUCCAGAGAAAUCUGAUUUUUGGUUAGCAAAGAAAGCAUGUCAAGUCAGAAUUUCUAAGAAUCAUGUGUUUAAAUUUUUACCAUUAUCUGGUAAUAUGGAAGGCCUUAAUAUUUUUUACUAGGUCCUGACUCUCUCAUCUAUUUACCUGUCUUACUCUAUUAGCACACAGAUCUGGAGCUGUCUUUCCUGAAGCCAGAGAAUAUGAGAAGGAUGCUCUCCUGGUCUGAUGCCUGCCUUUCUCAACUGUGGUAUUCAAGGAGAUGCAGUAGCUUAUUUUACAUCUUUGUAGAAUAAGGAGACACCAUGUCUCCUGAUGUUUGGUUUCUUUGGUUAAUGUCCUGAAAUGUAAAUAGGAGGUCAGUGUGUACCGUGCCUGCUAUUUCAGGGACAUAGCUAUUAAGAUGAAGAAGGCCUCUGCUUUGCUAGGCACCAGACAAAUGGAUCAAAAGCGCCCAGAGCCUGUGGGUUUCCUCAUUGCCAAAGAAUGCAGUUUGCUUUUAAAUCACAGUGAAUCAAGGGCUUCAAAUAUGAGCUCUGAAGUGAGAGAUUACAGAUUCUGAAGAGAGGAUUGGCUUGUAUAGAUAUAUCAUGCGAGUUGCUAUAAAUGUUAGGUCUGCAAAAGAGCUCUUCAAGCCAGUGGUCUGAAAAUUAUAGUCUUAGAUGGAAAGGGUGAGGCUGAAGUGGGGAGUAAAGGACAAUAUCCCAAUCUGCCAAACUGUAUAGACUCUGAGGAGCAUGGAUUGUGGAGGAGGGUAUGUGUUACAUUGUAUGGAGACUGUUGAGCUCAUGUUUUACUUCAGUCAGAAGAUACAUCACUGUGUCACCUUGGUACAAGAUGCUUACUCUUUUUGUUCUUUGCAGUAUGACUCUUAUGUGGUGUGAAGCCAUAAAAAAACACCUGCUGGAGCUCAACUACAUUUUUUCAGAGUAAAUAACCUGAAAAGCUUGCAUUGGUUAAAGUGCAGGGGAAAGUCUGUGAGAAGUUGUGUUCUACAUGUUGAACAAAUUAUUCUUUACAAAUUAUUGUUCUUUACAAAGCCAACCUUGUGGUUUGAGCCCUCUCAUAACACAGUGUCUGUAAAAAUAAAUGACUGGCUUUAUAGUUUGGUUUAAUGCAAAGUUCAGUAAACAGACACAGGGAUUGUUUAAAGACAGGUGUGUAAGUUGCUUAUCUUUACUUUUUCCUUUCUUCUCUUCUGUUUUUGACAAGUUAACCCAUACCUCCUUAGUUAUAACUUUGGGAAAUUUCCAAAGAAACCUAAAAAUUUCUCUGAGAAAACUGUGUUUUCUGAGCUAAAAAAGAUGCAUUAAACUGUACUUCUAUGCUUUCAAAUUAUACAGGAAGAUUAUGAAGGUCAUACUCAUAUUUCAGAUCUGAAUAAAAUUUUAUAUGCUGCUGUGUAAAUAUAUACAGAGUAGUUCUUAUGUGGUUUCUCGUAAUAGUUGCUCUAGGCUUUCAUCUGGUACAAUUUUCACUGAGUGCCAUAAUGACAGGUUCCACAAAGGGCCUCUCAUUCAUUUUUAGCUCUACCAAUUCAAAACAGAAAAAAAAAAAAAAAAA
Molecule: long non-coding RNA, 4777 nt
Filed under: Taeniopygia guttata (zebra finch)
Lineage: Eukaryota; Metazoa; Chordata; Aves; Passeriformes; Estrildidae
Description: lncRNA (ENSTGUG00000020642.1)
Source: RNAcentral